RNAcentral lists this long non-coding RNA (704 nucleotides) under Helianthus annuus (common sunflower). The record is from RNAcentral. Lineage: Eukaryota; Viridiplantae; Streptophyta; Magnoliopsida; Asterales; Asteraceae.
CAACUUAGGCAGUUUCACAAUUCAGAUCAAAUCAGUUUCAAUUCCAAAAGCAACCAAAAACAUAUCAUCGAUCAAACAGGACUUUUAUCAUGAAUUUCAUAUGAACAUUAAUAAUCCAAAAUCAAGAACAUUUAACUAAACACAUCAACACAUCCGAUUCUAACAUUCACAAAGCCAAUCAAUGAGCAUCCAUUAAUCCGAUUUAGUUAGCAUAUUAACCGGUUACAAUCUGAUUUAAUCACGUAUGCAUAUAGCCGAUUACAAUCACCUAUAUCCGGUUCAUGAGCAAGCCAAUUUUAUGAACACUAACUAUCAUUGAUCAAAUCUUAAAAUCAUCAUGCAACAUAGACACUUCACAACCGGUAAUCAUACAUAAAUCAAGCAAACAUACUAACCGAUUACAAGUGAAGAAGGGUGAUCCGAACAAGAGGAGGAUCGGAUGGUCUUGUGCCGUCGGGUCCUAAGCAAACCGAGAGAGAGAGGUAGAGAGCAAUAGGGUUUGUGUGUGUUGUGAAAAUUGUAACAAUGAAAGAAACCAAACCCUUACCAAGGAUUUGUGUUUGCGAUGGGGAGUGGGCCGAGCCCAACUCGGGUAUCAAAUGGAGUCCGAUUUCAAGUGUGGCCCAAAGGGCUUGCGUGACCGGUUUGUGUAGUUUGGGCUCAUGCAACGCAUAACAUACAUACACACAUAACACACGUAAACA